Molecule: non-coding RNA, 275 nt
Organism: Paramuricea clavata
Lineage: Eukaryota; Metazoa; Cnidaria; Anthozoa; Malacalcyonacea; Plexauridae
Source: the annotation of a GenBank genome assembly
CGCAAACUGACAAACACAAAAUAUUACACAAAACAAUACGGUAUGCUGACAACACCUUACAAAUUCAACCUCUCUCGCCUCAAAUAAAUACUUCAACCGACGCUUACCUUUCUGCCAUUGUGUCCUAACGUCUUCCUCAAGAGUUCAUCCUUGUGUCAGCCACAGAAGAGAAGCAAUGAUAUGUUUCUAAAGCCAUUUUUCACACUGCUAAAAAAUUGCCUUCCCCUUGCCCUCCUACAGCGAAGCUUACGUUCCGAUGGCUUCGAUGAGCGCGC